UACGGAGGAGGCAAGCGUUAUCCGGAAUUAUUGGGCGUAAAGCGUCCGCAGGUGGCUAUUCAAGUCUGCGGUCAAAGACUGGGGCUUAACCCUGGAAAGGCCGUGGAAACUGAAGAGCUAGAGUGCAGUAGGGGUAGAGGGAAUUCCCGGUGUAGCGGUGAAAUGCGUAGAGCUCGGGAAGAACGUCGGUGGCGAAAGCGCUCUGCUGGACUGCAACUGACACUCAGGGACGAAAGCUAGGGGAGCGAAUGGG
Molecule: ribosomal RNA, 253 nt
Filed under: uncultured bacterium
Lineage: Bacteria
Description: partial 16S ribosomal RNA
Rfam family: Bacterial small subunit ribosomal RNA
Source: RNAcentral